This 594-nucleotide long non-coding RNA is filed under the name Phoenix dactylifera (date palm). RNAcentral's name for it is "long non-coding RNA (PDAC_LNC021021)". The record is from RNAcentral. Lineage: Eukaryota; Viridiplantae; Streptophyta; Magnoliopsida; Arecales; Arecaceae.
UUUAAUCUUAUGUGCAUAUUGCAUGCAUGGCUUAGAAAUAAUUGAAAAAAAUCUUAAAUCUCUUAAGUAGUAAAAUUUCAUGUUUUGCUAUUUUCUCUGGUUACUAUCUCCUAGAGAGUUAUUUAUAACGAAAUACAACUUAAAUAAAAUAUUGAAUAUUUCUUUUGAUCAAACUUACAAGUAAAAAGAAGUAAAAUAUAAUUUAAUUAAAAAGGCAUCCAUACAAAACCUAAACUUAUAAGCAAGGUACGCUGAACCGGUACCGAUAGGCGUACCGAUCGCCUACUAGACCAGUUCGUACCGGUGCCGAACCGGUCCGCAUAACACACGCGCGCCGGUGGGCUGCCCAGCACGCACGAGCGCGCUUGUACCGGUGCGAACCGGACCAAGGCGGUACCGGGCUUGUACUGGUCGGACCCGAUCCGGUUCGCACCAGUACACCUCCGUACCGCUUGGUUCUGGCCCCAUAGGGGUUGGAACCAUUUUCCACCGCCGUACCGGACCGGUCAGGGACUAGACCGGUCCGGUACGUGUUGAACCGGCCGGUACGGGCCAGUUCAGCAUACCAUGCUCGCAAGGUUUUCUAUUGAGUUU